This 482-nucleotide ribosomal RNA is filed under the name uncultured bacterium. Its description in RNAcentral is "partial 16S ribosomal RNA". It matches the Rfam family "Bacterial small subunit ribosomal RNA", at positions 30 to 507 of the family's 1533-position model. The record is from RNAcentral.
AUUGAACGCUGGCGGCAUGCCUUACACAUGCAAGUCGAACGGUAACGGGCCUUCGGGUGCCGACGAGUGGCGAACGGGUGAGUAAUACAUCGGAACGUGCCCGAUCGUGGGGGAUAACGAGGCGAAAGCUUUGCUAAUACCGCAUACGAUCUACGGAUGAAAGCAGGGGACCGCAAGGCCUUGCGCGGACGGAGCGGCCGAUGGGAGAUUAGGUAGUUGGUGGGAUAAAAGCUUACCAAGCCGACGAUCUGUAGCUGGUCUGAGAGGAAGAUCGGCCACAACGGGGGUGAGACCAGGCCCCGACUUCUAAGGGAAGGCGCAGGGGGGAAUUUUGGACAAUGGGCGCAAGCCUGAUCCAGCCAUGCCGCGUGCAGGAUGAAGGCCUUCGGGUUGUAAACUGCUUUUGUACGGAACGAAAAGCCUUCUUUUAAUACAGGAGGGUCAUGACGGUACCGUAAGAAUAAGCACCGGCUAACUACGUG